GCGCGGUCUGGUACAUCCCGGUGAAGCGGCCGCGCCGGGCCGGCGGCGCGUUGAAGGCGAUCAGCGCCUCGGUGCCGUUCCAUUCGGCCGCCGCGCCC
This 98-nucleotide transfer RNA is filed under the name Methylibium sp. T29. Its description in RNAcentral is "tRNA-Pro". Lineage: Bacteria; Pseudomonadati; Pseudomonadota; Betaproteobacteria; Burkholderiales; Sphaerotilaceae. The record is from RNAcentral. RNAcentral also lists the same sequence under 1 other name.